Molecule: long non-coding RNA, 4778 nt
Organism: Bombus pyrosoma
Lineage: Eukaryota; Metazoa; Arthropoda; Insecta; Hymenoptera; Apidae
Exons: 3
Source: RefSeq, a predicted model, not a curated record
UGCGACACCACGUCAGAAUGUAUCCCGUGGAAUCUACCUUAAUCUAUCUACGCUAAGGGUUACGCAAAUAUGCGCAACCUUUUUUCUUUUUUUUUCUUUUUUAAUAAAGUUUAAACAACGUUUAAGUAAUAAUUUGAGUUGUUUCUUUUCGGUAUCGAUAAAUUGAACUGAUAUAUAACUUUUAUUUUUCAAAAGUCUGAAAUGAAAAGUAAAACUACCGAUCGGAUAUUGGGUGUAAGUUUACACGAGGAUAUCGAUAAUUGUACGCCAUCUGUGUUUAUUCGAGAUAAUUUCUUAUUUACAGAGAAUUACGCAUUUAGCUUUUAGAUAAUUUAGUCCGCCAGAUAUUAACAAAGCAAUGUCCUCUUGGUAACAUGAAUUUUUCAAACCUAGUUUCCUCUGUUCGUUCAACAAAAGAUUUCUCUGUUAGAAGACCAAUAACGUAUUUCUACGUAAAUCGUAUCGAGAAGCAUAGAUACCAUAAACUACAUGUUACAUAGAUGCACUCUAAUUCUCUGUCGUAUCCAGAAAAAUAUACGUAACGAUUCUGUAAUCUCAAGAAGACCUUCACUACCACUUCAUUCCUUAAGUCCGCGAUAUAGAAAAACAUCUUACGAAGCGAAGUAUCAUCGCGAAUUAUGCAAUGACUUCUGGCCAGACAAACAGAUUAAAACAAUCAUUCCAUGUCGUUACGAGCACAGAGUCGAUCGUACUUGACAGCUAUAUUGCGAGUUAAAAAAAAGUGCAAAGUAAAAAAUACCACUAAUAUAUUUUUUCAAGCUGCGUGAUUAUGACAAACCUCGUGAGACACGCCGGUGGCGCACAACACGAAACAUCGAAUAAUCCAAGCAAGAAGUUCAAACGUGGACCACCAGUGGAUGCACGCGGCGGAGAAACGUGGUGUGUGUCGAAUGGUUUCCACGUCCUCGGAUAUAUUUGUUUCGCUAGUUUCGUCGCGCGACCCCAAGCAGAAAGGAAGAAAGAAAGAGGAAGAAGGAAACAGAGAGGAAAAAAGCUAACAGAGAUUCUUUUUGAGAGGAACGUCGAAGGUUCCUACGACUAAAUUGAUCGUGGCCUUGAAGUAGCGAGCAGACGAGCCGCAAGAAGUACUACAAGUACGAGUGCACGUGUUGGAGAGAGAGAGAGAGAGAGAAGGAGCCAGGGUCGAAUUGAACUUACAUCUCUUACGUAAUUACCUUGAAAGAAAAAAAACGCGUAGAAAAAAGGAUUUAACCUUUGCGGCAUUCGCUUCGAUGCACGUUACCAUUGCUCGAUGUGACUUGUUAAAUUAUGCAUAUGCUAAUUUGAGGAUGAUAAGGAGAAUAUGUAUAGACGUGGAGGAAGAGGAUGAUCAUAGAGUUUAUCCCGAUGUUCUUCGAAUUUUCAUUUACAACGUUCAUGACAUAUUAAAUAUUGAUACUUUUCAUAUGAAUUUUUUAUUAACAUGAAUUUUAAUUAUAUUUUAGGGGACAGCGGUAUUAUUAAACAUAUCGUUAUUAGACUUUCUAUUUAUAUCGUAGCAUUAUUAAUUAGAAUAUUAAUAUUUGUAUUACAUCUUUAGGGACUAUCGUAUCGUAGUAGUCGAAGAAGACCAGGAUGAAAACUGUGAGGGUUUAAUAACCUGUCGGUUACGAAAUAGGUUACUUAAUGGAAAAUUGCAUUCCAGAAGGGUCAGAUGCGUCAAUUCAUUCAUAGGAAUUCAAGUAGGCGUUGAUUAUGAUGAGCAAGAAACGCGGUGUGGUGUAACGGGUAGCAGUUGCUACGAAACACACAGUUCGUACACAUGAAAAUAAUGCAGUGAAUCGUUUACUGAAUUCGGAGCUUAUCAGAAUCGUUCAAAUAAUCUGUUCUAAUAAGAAUACCACUGAUGUUCGAGUAUGAGAAAGAACUGCGUGACAAUUGCUAAGAAAAAAUAAAAUUUAACAUUGUCAAAUGAUUUAGGAACCGUGUUAUUAUUCGUUGAAAAUAUUCCACUUGCUAGAAAUUUAUUCCAAACCACAAGGCAUCUAAAAGGGCAGACUUAUUAGGAGUGACUUGUUUUUACAAUAAUAACUAAUCGCCUAACCAUUAAAAAGAAUACCUAUUUCCUGGAGAUUGCAUAAACUUCUACGAAAACAAGAUUAAAACAGCAACUCAACCAAUAUAAAUUGCAUAACGCGUAUAGAGGAAGAAAAGUGGCGAGCGGUACAUACUCGACGAUCGCACAAUCGAUCGGCUACCUCUUUUCCGUUCUGAAACGUGACCAGGCGUGCAUCCACUUCCGUUCGAAAUCGAUCCCCGCGUGAAUCAGCAACAAUUUGCGUACGGGAACUCUAAAUAACACGAAGUACCCUAGAAACUUGAAAUCACUAUUUUUUCUUUAAUCGAGUAAAAGUUAGGAUUAUUAUUCUAAGAAGAAAGCAACAUUAUCGAUGGUUUGCCAGAAGAAGUUCAUAAUCGUCAAUGAUUUGCGAGUGAAGCUCUAAAUUAUGAAUCAAGGGGAAAAUUAAAGAAUAGCAGAAAAUUUAUCACCGAAAGCCUAAAAUCGACGACUAUCCUUUGUAAAGAAGUUCACAAAAGGUUGACCUGUUAUUAAUUCGCGCAGCGAGCAAUGUUAUUAAUUCCAGUCGAGAAUUAUUGGUAAUCUGCAGAUUCGAUGGUCUCGUUAUAGUUAAUGGACUAUGAACGCGUUAUCAAAAUUUUUAAUUACUUCCUAAGUUGUUUUUUAAAUUCGGUUGCUACCUGAAAGAAUCAUCAGAACUAUCGGUGAAUUGCAAAAGCAAAAAAAAAAAAGGAAGGACUCUUCGAAGAGGCGUACUUUGUCUAAGGUUGCAUUCCGAGUUAGUCAAACAUCCUAAAAAUUCAUAUCAUACUUAGUGAUCGACCUCGAAAAAUGAUGGAGACCAAAAAGGAAGGCGUGGACCGAAGAGAGAUAGGUGAAGAAGACAAGAGGAAGAGGAAAGAAGAAGAAGACACCGAGGUCGAGCCCCUACGAGUCAACGAUCCCUGACGUCGUAUGUACACGACCUUGGCGAACGAAGUCGAGCCCGAAGCCAAAUCUAUUUCUCUAGUUGGUCUGCUGGUUUGACGUAGUCCUUAUCGCGAUCCGCGUUACGGCCUUCAGGCCACCGGCCUAUGCCGUUAGGGACCCUUGAAACCCGGCUCGAAUCGGAGUCCCAUGAAAUUUUUAUUACGAAAACGACAUCACGCAAACAGAUUCACACGUCAUAGGUCAUUGACAACGAAUGCGUGCUGUUGGAGGUUCCCCAGGAUGUUCGAGGUUUUCUCACAUAGAGCAAUUGCUAUCUGUCGUAAUAUUCAGAGCUUUUGCAUGGAUUAAUUAAGCUUGGCUUUUUUUUUCUUUUUGGAAAAUCGUAAGAUGGAGGAUAAUUGGCUUGUUCGUGCCAAUAAACGUUCAUGUGAAAAUAAAAUUAUAUGCGUUUAUGCGAAGUGUGACGUGUAUGGUUGGGCUAUCGCUACUUUUAGUGAUUUUUUAAAUUUAUUUUUAUUAAUAUAUGAAAUGACAGUAGAACUUUGUCGAGAUGGAUCUGCGGAACAGUUUAUGGGAUAGACACGAGCAUUUUGUAUAACUGGAGUUUACAUAAUUGGAUCUUGUUGUAGAAGUAUAAUAGAAUUUCGCGUUCAGAUAAAUUCAGUUACUAUCGGUUCGUCUAAUCGGGUAAUGAUUCAAAUUUAUAAUGCAGAAGCAAGCGUAGAUUGCAAAUUUAGCCUGUUGAAGCAAUCCGAUACGAUACACGAGGUCGAUUUUCUCUUAAACCGGAAAAUAUCGCGUCGAUCGGGUUAAUUAACAUAGGCAACAACUCUUGACUAGCGAUCAGAUAGAAACGAAGACAGCUAACAACUGUCUAGAGAACGGAUAAUCAGUUUGAACAGGCGAUUAUCAGUUUCUAUCGCGAAGCAAUGCGGCGUGAAACGUCGAUUCGUUUCGAAACUUUGUCUACUUCGUUAAACGGCCGGUUUCCGCGAAGAAAAUGCGAAACAACGAAGUCGCGAAAGAGAAAACCAUCGUACGAAGAAUCGACAAAUCGAUGUACAAAGGGAAGCGUGAGAAACGUCAGCGCAACGACUCUGGACGAAGUGAAAGUCACUUCUUCUCUCUUCUUCGUCUUUCUUCGAUCGCUUUUUUUUCACUGAAAACAAUGCACGAUUUCUGCGGAAUAUGGAAAUUAAUGGUCUUUAAUACGACGACGAAAUUAAGACUUUCCAUAGAAAAUUUUCUCCUCCAGCAGGAAAGUUGAUUUAAUUGUACCGUAGAAAAACAUUUUCUAAAAGUGAUGACAUUCUAUAGAAAAAUUGUAUUAUGUUUCAUUCUGUACAUAAUAUUACAUCCUGAAGAGAUGCCGAUGCAAAAUUUUCUUUCAAUCGAGAAAAUUGUUUCAAAAAUAAAUGUUCACCCCUUUGUCAAUAUCAUAUACGCCUUUGUAUUACGGUGUGUCAGUCGAUGGGUAUAAAUACAAAAUAAUUCACGUCAACUGGGACAAGUCAUUUCUUUUUUGAUCGAGAUUAGAAAAAGCACUAGCUUCUACCACACAUAUCUUUUUCACAAUUAUCAAUCGUACACGAUCGUUCGAAAUAGAAUUUUAUAUUUCUCUAUACGGAUCAAAUCAGCUUAUGUUUUAUCGGCUUUAUAAAAAAAGCACGAGGCUAAUGUGAUCGAAAAAUGAUUACUUCGUGAAACCUCGAGUCGUGAUGCGAAUCGUUUCCAGCAUAGUCAUAAAUAUUCACAACCUUAUAAAUGUACUAGCAAUCUUGUAAAACGAACUACUGUGCUGUGCAAU